Molecule: ribosomal RNA, 449 nt
Filed under: uncultured bacterium
Lineage: Bacteria
Description: bacterial SSU rRNA
Rfam family: Bacterial small subunit ribosomal RNA
Source: RNAcentral
AGCGAACGCUGGCGGCAGGCUUAACACAUGCAAGUCGAACGGGCGUAGCAAUACGUCAGUGGCAGACGGGUGAGUAACGCGUGGGAACGUACCUUUUGGUUCGGAACAACCCAGGGAAACUUGGGCUAAUACCGGAUAAGCCCUUACGGGGAAAGAUUUAUCGCCGAAAGAUCGGCCCGCGUCUGAUUAGCUAGUUGGUGUGGUAACGGCGCACCAAGGCGACGAUCAGUAGCUGGUCUGAGAGGAUGAUCAGCCACAUUGGGACUGAGACACGGCCCAAACUCCUACGGGAGGCAGCAGUGGGGAAUAUUGGACAAUGGGCGCAAGCCUGAUCCAGCCAUGCCGCGUGGAUGAUGAAGGCCCUAGGGUUGUAAAGUCCUUUUAACGGGAAGAUAAUGACGGUACCCGUAGAAUAAGCCCCGGCUAACUUCGUGCCAGCAGCAGCCGCA